Camelus dromedarius (Arabian camel) is the source of this 594-nucleotide non-coding RNA. Lineage: Eukaryota; Metazoa; Chordata; Mammalia; Artiodactyla; Camelidae. The record is from the annotation of a RefSeq genome assembly.
GGCCCUGCAGCUCUGAGAGAGGAGCCCCAGCCCGGGAUUCCCAGCUGCUCCAAUUCUCUGAGCAGGACUGAGCACAGACGAAACACCAUGGAGCUGGGGCUGAGCUGGGUGGUCCUGGCUGCUCUUCUACAAGGUGUCCAGGCUGAGGUGCAGCUGGUGGAGUCUGGGGGAGGCUCGGUGCAGGCUGGAGGGUCUCUGAGACUCUCCUGUGCAGCCUCUGGAUACACCUACAGUAGCUGCAGCAUGGGCUGGUACCGCCAGGCUCCAGGGAAGGAGCGCGAGUUGGUCUCAACUAUUAUUAGUGAUGGUAGCACAUACUAUGCAGACUCCGUGAAGGGCCGAUUCACCAUCUCCCAAGACAACGCCAAGAACACGGUGUAUCUGCAAAUGAACAGCCUGAAACCUGAGGACACGGCCAUGUAUUACUGUAACACAGACACAGUGAGGGGAAGUCAUUUUCUGCUAAUUGGGCCCCGUGUACUAAACUUCCUGACCCGCUUUGUCAGUGAGCGGAUAGAGGCUAUAAAACUUCAGAUGUUAGCCUCCAAUUAUGAGCCCCUGCAAAAGCUAAGUGAUGAUGCUUACACCAACUAG